RNAcentral lists this ribosomal RNA (1095 nucleotides) under Triticum aestivum (bread wheat). RNAcentral describes it as "partial small subunit ribosomal RNA". The record is from RNAcentral. Lineage: Eukaryota; Viridiplantae; Streptophyta; Magnoliopsida; Poales; Poaceae.
AUGAGUACGCCAUCGCCGCUCUCAGGAACAUCGAUGACUACUUCACCGACGAGCCGCAGAUGUCCUUCAACCUUUACCUCUACCGCUCGUCCAGGCCCGGCGAGGGGUGGACCGCCAGGGUGGUGUCGGUGGAGGAGCCACUCAGGGACACGGUCUGCCCGGUGGAGGAGCCCAAGCGGGUUCCAUGAGACGACCAAGGCGAUCACGCUUGGAGGCGGCGCCGUUGGCUGGGUUGAUCUCUGGCGUGGCAUCCUCGUCUGCAACGUGUUCGAUGAAAAGCCUGUGCUCCGGGACGUGCCGCUGCCGCUGCCGGCAAGGGGUAACUGGGAAAUCUACCACAGAUGUGGCCCUUACUUUGCUCGGGACAUCGCGGUCAGCCCACAGAAAGACGUCAUCAAGUAUGUCGAGGUUGAAAUUUGCCUGCCAAGGAAGCCGACUACUACAAAGACGACUGAAACCUGCCACCCCCCGGAGCCGGAGUCCUACCUGGAAUGGUUCCGCCAACAGCAACACGAAGAUGAGGACGACGACGAUGAUGAUGAAGACGUUGGUGGCUGGAAGGCCACAACAUGGAGCUUGCCUGUCCCUAUUGCUUCAUGGGAGAACUGGCACUUUGACUACACCGUCGAUGUCGAUGACAUUACUGUCAACCCAUUGCAUUGUAAUCUGCUUCCAAGGCAGCUGCAGCCCACAGAGGCACAAGCAUUGCUGCCAGGACUCAUCACUGCUUUCCCCAUCAUGAGUAUGGAUGACGAUCUUGUCUACCUCUUGUCCAAGGCCAGCCCCAAAGACCAGAUGCAAGUUGUGAUUGCUGUUGACGUGAGGAGGAAGAUGCUGCUGGGAGUGGCCAAGCUUGUUACUGGAAAAGACUUCACUUUUAUGCGCACUUGCACCAGUGAGAUCUCAAAAUAUAUCAACAAUAAAUCUUCAGGGGAUGUUUCCAAAGCAUCGGCCAGUUUAUCUGCUGCAAGCAGAGGGGUAGCGGAUAAACAAACUGAAGGUCUCAUGCAGAAAUUUACCAGUAGACAGUGUCCUGGAGAAAAUUCAAAGGAACGUCAAAAGCUUUUUGAAUAUCUACGCAGUAGAAGAUCGUAA